Molecule: ribosomal RNA, 505 nt
Filed under: uncultured bacterium
Lineage: Bacteria
Description: partial 16S ribosomal RNA
Rfam family: Bacterial small subunit ribosomal RNA
Source: RNAcentral
GACGAACGCUGGCGGCGUGCCUAAUACAUGCAAGUAGAACGCACAGUUUAUACCGUAGCUUGCUACACCAUAGACUGUGAGUUGCGAACGGGUGAGUAACGCGUAGGUAACCUGCCUGGUAGCGGGGGAUAACUAUUGGAAACGAUAGCUAUUACCGCAUAAUAUUAAUUAUUGCAUGAUAAUUAAUUGAAAGGUGCAAUUGCACCACUACCAGAUGGCCCUGCGUUGUAUUAGCUAGUAGGUGAGUUAACGGCUCACCUAGGCGACGAUACAUACCCGACCUGAGAGGGUGAUAGGCGAAACUGAGACGGGGACACGGCCCAGACUACUGCGGGAGGCAGCAGGAGGGAAUCUUCGGGAAUGGACGAAAGUCUGAACGAGGAACGCCGCGUGGGUGAAGAAGGUAUUCGGAUCGUAAAGCUCUGUUGUAAGAGAAGAACGGGUGGGAGAGUGGAAAGUGCACACUGUGACGGUAUCUUACCAGAAAGGGACGGCUAACUACGUG